Molecule: long non-coding RNA, 1022 nt
Filed under: Macaca mulatta (Rhesus monkey)
Lineage: Eukaryota; Metazoa; Chordata; Mammalia; Primates; Cercopithecidae
Description: lncRNA (ENSMMUG00000060523.1)
Source: RNAcentral
UCCUUCUUCCCUCUUUCCAUCCCUCCUGUUUCCUUCUUCCCUCCCUCCCUGCCUCCCUCUCUGUCUUUGUUCCUUUUCUUUGUGAUAAGACUCGGUUUAACAUAGUCAUAAAACUUACUUGCUUUAUGGUGGAUCAUGAGUGGCAGCUUAAUACAACUGUGAUAUAUUAACAGAUACUAUGAUCCACUUUUCUGAGGCAAAGCUUAAUAAUUGAUUUGUAUAAUGUGAGAGAGAAGAAAAAUCUGAGAGCUUUAAAGUAAUUUACAGCCCCAUGCCAUACUCGGUGUGUUUUUAAUGAGCUUCUCUAGAUCUACAGGCAGUGAAAGUUUUCUCUGCUGAUGUACAGGGCAACUUGUCAAGACAUCCUGCAGGGAAGUGUGUUCAAAGAAGGUCAGCCAGGGAAUGGAACUGCAUGAGGCGAUGCUGUGGUACAUAAUUGACUUCCUGUUUCUCUGGAAAGUGAUAGAAGAAAUAUCCACCAAAUGCCCUCUCUGAGCCAAGCAUUAUGUUGUGGAGAUACACAAUUAAGACAUCUGCAGAUGAAGAGAUUGCUUCGCUUCAAACCUCCUGACUGCCAUGGAACCAUCUGGCACAUGCACGUGUGUGGGGAGGUGAGACACCAGCUAACACUAAAGUCUUCAGCUGGUAUGGCAUUAUUUCUUAUGGAGUGUUACAGUAGCGACCGAGGUGACACUGAAGGAAAAUUCUGUGACAGUAUGUUAAGUAAGAUAUUACUGACAGCCCUGCUGAGCGGCGAUGCAGAACUGCAUGUCGUGGAUCUAUUCUCACCUCUUCAGCCCCCACCAAAUGGUCUCCAUUUGUGGCAUGUGCAAGCAGAAUGGAAACAUGAAUGGAAAAUCAUGUUCUUUUUUUUGAAUUCACUUGUUUGCAUUCCAUUAAUAGGGCUGGGAUGGAGGCUCAAAUCUGGUAUAAAAGAUACAUUUAUCAGUCCUGUAUCAUACUGUUGUACCUUUCUACCAGAGGUAGGAAAAUGGAGAGGCACCAAUAGGCCUGAGUUCUAG